Molecule: ribosomal RNA, 274 nt
Filed under: uncultured bacterium
Lineage: Bacteria
Description: partial 16S ribosomal RNA
Rfam family: Bacterial small subunit ribosomal RNA
Source: RNAcentral
AUACGGAGGUUGCAAGCGUUGUUCGGAAUCAUUGGGCGUAAAGCGCGUGUAGGCGGUUUCUUAAGUUCGGCGUGAAAGCCCGGGGCUCAACCCCGGAAGUGCGUUGAAUACUGGGUUACUAGAGAACGGGAGAGGGAAGCGGAAUUCCUGGUGUAGGGGUGAAAUCCGUAGAUAUCAGGAGGAACACCGGUGGCGAAGGCGGCUUCCUGGCCCGUUACUGACGCUGAGACGCGAAAGCGUGGGGAGCAAACAGGAUUAGAAACCCUAGUAGUCC